Molecule: ribosomal RNA, 563 nt
Filed under: Laimaphelenchus liaoningensis
Lineage: Eukaryota; Metazoa; Nematoda; Chromadorea; Rhabditida; Aphelenchoididae
Description: partial large subunit ribosomal RNA
Rfam family: Eukaryotic large subunit ribosomal RNA
Source: RNAcentral
GAUAUAAAAGGAAGCGAAUGAAGCCGACGUAUCGGGCUUGUAUUCAACCGCUCAGCGUUGCGAUCAGUUGGUUCGGUAUUCCGCAAGGUUACCUGCUGGCUGUUGUCGUUACGUUAGUGUGGUGCAUUUGCAAGCGGAGUGCGCCGAGUGGGUUGAUUCUGCUGCUUGAAGCUUGUAAAGAGGACUUGACUUCGGUCGAGAACCCUGUACUUGUGGAUGGCGGAUGGGAUCGGCUCUUGUGUGGUGUUUCGGCACCCGACUCGGUGUUCAGUCGGUCACCCAUUUGACCCGUCUUGAAACACGGACCAAGGAGUUUAAGGUGUACGCAAGUCAUUGAGCGUUAAACUCAAAGGCGUAAUGAAAGUGAGCUUCUUAGAAGCUGUAAUGUGAACUGUGGUUGAUUCGUUGGCUGCAGUGCAACAUUGCCCCAUGCCUAGGACUUGUCCUGGUGUGGAGGUUGAGCGUACGCUUUGAGACCCGAAAGAUGGUGAACUAUGCCUGAACAGGAUGAAGUCAGAGGAAACUCUGAUGGAAGUCCGAAGCGGUUCUGACGUGCAAAUCGA